This 486-nucleotide ribosomal RNA is filed under the name uncultured bacterium. Its description in RNAcentral is "partial 16S ribosomal RNA". It matches the Rfam family "Bacterial small subunit ribosomal RNA", at positions 28 to 507 of the family's 1533-position model. The record is from RNAcentral.
GAUGAACGCUGGCGGCGUGCCUAAUACAUGCAAGUCGAACGCUGGAAAUCUAGCUUGCUCGAUUGAAGGAGUGGCGAACGGGUGAGUAAUACAUAAGCAACCUACCCACGAAGACUGGGAUAAUCUCUGGAAACGGGGACUAAUACCGGAUAGGUAAUCGGAAGGCAUCUUCUGAUUAUUAAAGGUUAAAAACACUGGUGGAUGGGCUUAUGGCGCAUUAGUUAGUUGGUGAGGUAACGGCCCACCAAGACGAUGAUGCGUAGCCGGCCUGAGAGGGUGAACGGCCACAUUGGGACUGGGACACGGCCCAGACUCCUACGGGAGGCAGCAGUAGGGAAUGUUCGGCAAUGGGGGAAACCCUGACCGAGCAACGCCGCGUGAGUGAUGACGGCCUUCGGGUUGUAAAGCUCUGUUGUAAGGGAAGAACGGUAGAUAGAGAAUAUCUAAAUGACGGUACCUUACCAGAAAGCCACGGCUAACUACGUG